Molecule: non-coding RNA, 143 nt
Organism: Mus musculus (house mouse)
Lineage: Eukaryota; Metazoa; Chordata; Mammalia; Rodentia; Muridae
Source: Rfam
CCCCUCGGCAAUGAGCAAAGAGGCACCUUGGUGGCCGUGGUGUUCUUAUCUCAGUCAGAGGCAGAGCAGAUGGCAAUCCUCUGUUCAUCCUAGCUUGAUGUCUGGCUUGGUGGCCAAAGCUGUUUUAUGCCUAGGACACAUAA